UCCCCGUUACCGAGGCAGUCUGAUUAGACCAAUUCAACUAAUCAUGAGGGUUGCGCUCGUUGAAGGACUUAACCUGACAUCUCACGACACGAGCUGACGACGGCCAUGCAUCACCUGUCACUAGGUUCCUCGCGGCACAGCUCUAUUUCUAGAGCUUUCCUAGGAUGUCAAACCUUGGUAAGGUUCUUCGCGUAGCCUCGAAUUAAACCACACGCUCCACCGCUUGUGCGGGUCCCCGUCAAUUCCUUUGAGUUUUAGCCUUGCGGCCGUACUCCCCAGGCGGGAUGCUUAACGCGUUAGCUUCGCUACCGAAAGGGUCGAUACUUCCGACAGCUAGCAUCCAUCGUUUACGGCGUGGACUAC
RNAcentral lists this unclassified non-coding RNA (363 nucleotides) under uncultured bacterium. RNAcentral describes it as "contains 16S-23S intergenic spacer region". The record is from RNAcentral.